GAUGAACGCUAGCUACAGGCUUAACACAUGCAAGUCGAGGGGAGACGAUAUUGGAAGCUUGCUUCCGAUAGGCGUCGACCGGCGCACGGGUGAGUAACGCGUAUCCAACCUGCCCACCACUUGGGGAUAACCUUGCGAAAGUAAGACUAAUACCCAAUGAUAUCUCUAGAAGACAUCUGAAGGAGAUUAAAGAUUUAUCGGUGAUGGAUGGGGAUGCGUCUGAUUAGCUUGUUGGCGGGGUAACGGACCACCAAGGCGACGAUCAGUAGGGGUUCUGAGAGGAAAGUCCCCCACAUUGGAACCGAGAUACGGUCCAAACUCCUACGGGAGGCAGCAGUGAGGAAUAUUGGUCAAUGGGCGAGAGCCUGAACCAGCCAAGUAGCGUGCAGGAUGACGGCCCUAUGGGUUGUAAACUGCUUUUAUAAGGGAAUAAAGUGAGCCUCGUGAGGCUUUUUGCAUGUACCUUAUGAAUAAGGACCGGCUAAUUCCGUGCCAGCAGCCGCCGUAA
RNAcentral lists this ribosomal RNA (508 nucleotides) under uncultured bacterium. RNAcentral describes it as "partial 16S ribosomal RNA". It matches the Rfam family "Bacterial small subunit ribosomal RNA", at positions 28 to 523 of the family's 1533-position model. The record is from RNAcentral.